RNAcentral lists this ribosomal RNA (253 nucleotides) under uncultured bacterium. RNAcentral's name for it is "partial 16S ribosomal RNA". It matches the Rfam family "Bacterial small subunit ribosomal RNA", at positions 524 to 776 of the family's 1533-position model. The record is from RNAcentral.
UACGUAGGGUGCGAGCGUUGUCCGGAAUUAUUGGGCGUAAAGAGCUCGUAGGCGGUUUGUUGCGUCGGCCGUGAAAACCUGCAGCUUAACUGUGGGCCUGCGGCCGAUACGGGCAGACUUGAGUUCGGUAGGGGAGACUGGAAUUCCUGGUGUAGCGGUGAAAUGCGCAGAUAUCAGGAGGAACACCGGUGGCGAAGGCGGUUCUCUGGGCAUUACCUGACGCUGAGGAGCGAAAGUGUGGGGAGCGAACAGG